RNAcentral lists this ribosomal RNA (1536 nucleotides) under Klebsiella quasivariicola. RNAcentral's name for it is "bacterial SSU rRNA". It matches the Rfam family "Bacterial small subunit ribosomal RNA". Lineage: Bacteria; Pseudomonadati; Pseudomonadota; Gammaproteobacteria; Enterobacterales; Enterobacteriaceae. The record is from RNAcentral.
UUGAAGAGUUUGAUCAUGGCUCAGAUUGAACGCUGGCGGCAGGCCUAACACAUGCAAGUCGAGCGGUAGCACAGAGAGCUUGCUCUCGGGUGACGAGCGGCGGACGGGUGAGUAAUGUCUGGGAAACUGCCUGAUGGAGGGGGAUAACUACUGGAAACGGUAGCUAAUACCGCAUAACGUCGUAAGACCAAAGUGGGGGACCUUCGGGCCUCAUGCCAUCAGAUGUGCCCAGAUGGGAUUAGCUAGUAGGUGGGGUAACGGCUCACCUAGGCGACGAUCCCUAGCUGGUCUGAGAGGAUGACCAGCCACACUGGAACUGAGACACGGUCCAGACUCCUACGGGAGGCAGCAGUGGGGAAUAUUGCACAAUGGGCGCAAGCCUGAUGCAGCCAUGCCGCGUGUGUGAAGAAGGCCUUCGGGUUGUAAAGCACUUUCAGCGGGGAGGAAGGCGUUAAGGUUAAUAACCUUGGCGAUUGACGUUACCCGCAGAAGAAGCACCGGCUAACUCCGUGCCAGCAGCCGCGGUAAUACGGAGGGUGCAAGCGUUAAUCGGAAUUACUGGGCGUAAAGCGCACGCAGGCGGUCUGUCAAGUCGGAUGUGAAAUCCCCGGGCUCAACCUGGGAACUGCAUUCGAAACUGGCAGGCUAGAGUCUUGUAGAGGGGGGUAGAAUUCCAGGUGUAGCGGUGAAAUGCGUAGAGAUCUGGAGGAAUACCGGUGGCGAAGGCGGCCCCCUGGACAAAGACUGACGCUCAGGUGCGAAAGCGUGGGGAGCAAACAGGAUUAGAUACCCUGGUAGUCCACGCCGUAAACGAUGUCGAUUUGGAGGUUGUGCCCUUGAGGCGUGGCUUCCGGAGCUAACGCGUUAAAUCGACCGCCUGGGGAGUACGGCCGCAAGGUUAAAACUCAAAUGAAUUGACGGGGGCCCGCACAAGCGGUGGAGCAUGUGGUUUAAUUCGAUGCAACGCGAAGAACCUUACCUGGUCUUGACAUCCACAGAACUUAGCAGAGAUGCUUUGGUGCCUUCGGGAACUGUGAGACAGGUGCUGCAUGGCUGUCGUCAGCUCGUGUUGUGAAAUGUUGGGUUAAGUCCCGCAACGAGCGCAACCCUUAUCCUUUGUUGCCAGCGGUUAGGCCGGGAACUCAAAGGAGACUGCCAGUGAUAAACUGGAGGAAGGUGGGGAUGACGUCAAGUCAUCAUGGCCCUUACGACCAGGGCUACACACGUGCUACAAUGGCAUAUACAAAGAGAAGCGACCUCGCGAGAGCAAGCGGACCUCAUAAAGUAUGUCGUAGUCCGGAUUGGAGUCUGCAACUCGACUCCAUGAAGUCGGAAUCGCUAGUAAUCGUAGAUCAGAAUGCUACGGUGAAUACGUUCCCGGGCCUUGUACACACCGCCCGUCACACCAUGGGAGUGGGUUGCAAAAGAAGUAGGUAGCUUAACCUUCGGGAGGGCGCUUACCACUUUGUGAUUCAUGACUGGGGUGAAGUCGUAACAAGGUAACCGUAGGGGAACCUGCGGUUGGAUCACCUCCUU